AGAGUUUGAUCAUGGCUCAGGAUAAACGCUGGCGGCGUGCUUCAGGCAUGCAAGUCGAACGAGUGGCCACCUUCGGGUGGUCUACUAGUGGCGGACGGGUGAGUAACGCGUUAGCAACCUGCCCAAAAGUGGGGAAUAACUAACCGAAAGGUUAGCUAAUACCGCAUGUGAUAGCUGGUUCUUGGACCGGUUAUGAAAGGCUUCGGUCGCUUUUGGAGGGGCUUGCGUCAGAUUAGCUAGUUGGUGGGGUAAUGGCCUACCAAGGCGACGAUCUGUAGCUGGUCUGAGAGGACGAUCAGCCACACGGGGACUGAGAUACGGCCCCGACUCCUACGGGAGGCAGCAGCUAGGAAUCUUGGGAAUGGGCGAAAGCCUGACCCAGCAACGCCGCGUGGGCGAUGAAGGCCUUCGGGUCGUAAAGCCCUUUUGCAGGGGACGAUGAUGACGGUACCCUGCGAAUAAGCCACGGCUAACUACGUGCCAGCAGCCGCGGUA
Molecule: ribosomal RNA, 495 nt
Filed under: uncultured bacterium
Lineage: Bacteria
Description: bacterial SSU rRNA
Rfam family: Bacterial small subunit ribosomal RNA
Source: RNAcentral